Molecule: non-coding RNA, 854 nt
Filed under: Hoplosternum littorale (atipa)
Lineage: Eukaryota; Metazoa; Chordata; Actinopteri; Siluriformes; Callichthyidae
Description: partial 12S ribosomal RNA
Rfam family: Bacterial small subunit ribosomal RNA
Source: RNAcentral
AAAGGCUUGGUCCUGACUUUACUAUCAGCUUUAGCCCAGUUCAUACAUGCAAGUAUCCGCACCCCUGUGAGAAUGCCCUAAAUCCUCCAUCCGAGGAUAAGGAGCAGGCAUCAGGCACGAUGUAUUCGGCCCAAGACGCCUUGCUAUGCCACACCCCUAAGGGAAUCCAGCAGUAGUAGACAUUAAGCCAUUAGUGAAAACUUGACUUAGCCAGGACUAAAAGAGUCGGUAAAAUUCGUGCCAGCCACCGCGGUUAUACGAAAGACCCUAGUUGAUAGACACGGCGUAAAGGGUGGUUAGGAGUAAUGAAAAAUAGGGCUAAAGACCUUCUAAGCAGUUAUACGCCUACGAACAUGCGAAAUCCUAUUUUAAACGAAAGUACCCUACCCAAUAUAUCCGACCCCACGAAAGUUGAGAAACACACUGGGAUUAGAUACCCCAUUAUGCUCAACCAUAAACCAAGAUAUUUAUUACUAAUAUAUCCGCCCGGGUACUACAAGCACAGCUUAAAACCCAAAGGACUUGGCGGUGCUUCAGAUCCACCUAGAGGAGCCUGUUCUAGAACCGAUAAUCCCCGUUAAACCUCACCACCUCUUGUUAAUACCGCCUAUAUACCGCCGUCGUCAGCUUACCCUAUGAGGGUAAAAUAGUAAGCAAAAAGGACACACUCCAAAACGUCAGGUCGAGGUGUAGCGUACGAAGUGGGAAGAAAUGGGCUACAUUUUCUAUUACAGAAUAUUACGAAUAGCACUAUGAAAUAUUACGCCUGAAGGAGGAUUUAGUAGUAAAAAGAAAAUAGAGAGUUCUUUUGAAUUAGGCUAUGAAGCGCGCACACACCGCCCGUCACUCUCCCU